Non-coding RNA from Salvelinus sp. IW2-2015, 1676 nucleotides. The record is from RefSeq and is a predicted model, not a curated record. Lineage: Eukaryota; Metazoa; Chordata; Actinopteri; Salmoniformes; Salmonidae.
CAAACCGUAAACUCAAAGGCACUCGUUCGAUAUAAAAUAGUUUUUGACGAAAAUGAAAACGUGUCAGUUUGUUAUUUUCACGAGGUUGGAGUAAUACAAUGUUCAACUACUUAAGACAGUGGCUCGAAUCUAGGUUUUGCCUUUAGAUUUCGAGAAAAUGAACAACUAAGGAAUAAURUGUCACUUCUCUCAUACACUAAACCCCGACCUGACCUGCUUCGCAAGCGUUCCUGGAAGUCUCGUGAUGUUGCGCCUUUGGGUUUAGAAACUGUGGAUUAUGUAGCUGUCUUUUUCCAACAACGGUUUCAAAAGGCUAGUUAUUUACAAUACCUGGCUGAAAAUUACAACGUUCUUGUUAUUAUAACCAUUUUGUAUUUUAAUUUAUGUAUGUAAUUUAGUAAGAGCAGCAGCUACCGUCUCAGUCUGGGACUAAGAGAGUCGUCAAUGGACAACUGCAAAUUCUUUAGGAUUAUAAAUUCUUCCGAUGAGAUGUGAACGUGGAGUCUUUCCAGAUCUUCUCGUGCUCUGGCUGUCCGUUCUCCUAUCACCUCUCAGAUCUUCCUCCUCAGGCACAUAAAGAGAUGUCACCAUGAUAUGUAUGUCAGACUGUUGAGGAGUGGAGAGAUCAGAGAAUCUCAUGUCCUUCAGCAGCUCACAACACCAUGGAACCACCACAGGUUCAUUCAACCCAGCUCCCACCAGGAAACAGAAAGAGAUGGACAAGGCACGGCCACGGCCACACCACUGUUCUCAGUGUGGGGAGAGCGUCAUUAAAGAUCAUCUUAGAACACACCAACGCAUUCACACAGGAGAGAGGCCGUUCCACUGCUCCCAGUGUGGGAAGAGUUUCAAUACAGGGAGUGAUUACAAUAGACACCAGCUCACUCACACAGGAGAGAAGCCGUUCCACUGCUCCCAGUGUGGGAAGAGUUUCAGGGAGUCAGGAAAUUUAAAGAUACACCAGCGCAUUCACAUAGGAGAGAAGCCAUUCCACUSUUCCCAGUGUGGGAAGAGUUUCAGGAAGUCACACCAGCGCAUUCACACAGGAGAGAAGCCGUUCCACUGCUCCAAGUGUGGGAAGAGCUUUGGUUUCAUACACGUUCUAACAGCACAUCCAGCGCACUCACACAGGAUAGAAACCGUUCCUCUGCUCCCAGUGUAGGAAGAGUUUGUCAAGAGUAAUCUCAGAACACACCAGCACAUUCACACAGGAGAGAAGCCGUUCCACUGUUCCCAGUGUCGGAAUACUUAUAUUCGAAAUCUAAAGACACACCAGUGUUCUUAAAGAGUAAAGAAGAUUUCACUUGUAAAUGGGAUGGUAAUGUGACAAUGAGAUUCAGUAACUUUAUAUUCUAUCAAGAAACAUGGCUGAUGUCUUUUGUACAUAGAUACCAGGUUUGGGGUUAGUUCAGGAAGUACAAUUUAAAUUCCAAUUCUCUUCCAAUGUUUUCCAAUUAGUAAAAUUUGGAAUUGACCCCAACUCGGAUAGAUCAUGUUGAAUUAUUCUGAUAUGAUAUUCACAGAACUCAAAUUUGAAUAUAGUAAAUUACGCAUGUGUAUAUUAACUGUAAAUAUUUAACUAAUCUUUGAACUGAAAUGUAUACCCCCUCUAAUCAUAAACAUGGCAAGAUUUAAAUCUGUUUUUUGAUAUCACAAUAAAAUACACAUCUCCUCUC